AGCAGCCGCGGUAAUUCCAGCUCCAAUAGCGUAUACUAAAGUUGCUGCAGUUAAAAAGCUCGUAGUUGAAUUUCGGGACCAAUAUGUCGGUCGUGCCUCGGUACGUACUGGCAUCGUUGGUUUCUCCCUUCUGACGAACCAUGAUGUCAUUUAUUUGGUGUCGUGGGGAAUCAGGACUGUUACUUUGAAAAAAUUAGAGUGUUUAAAGCAGGCUCACGCUUGAAUACAUUAGCAUGGAAUAAUGAAAUAGGACGUUUGAUUCUAUUUUGUUGGUUUCUAGGAUCGACGUAAUGAUUAAUAGGGAUAGUUGGGGGCAUUAGUAUUCAAUUGUCAGAGGUGAAAUUCUUGGAUUUAUUGAAGACUAACUACUGCGAAAGCAUUUGCCAAGAAUGUUUUCAUUAAUCAAGAACGAAAGUUAGGGGAUCGAAGACGAUCAGAUACCGUCGUAGUCUUAACCAUAAACUAUGCCGACUAGGGAUCGGAUGAUGUUAAUUUUUUAAUGACUCAUUCGGCGCCUUACG
This 521-nucleotide ribosomal RNA is filed under the name uncultured Glomeraceae. Its description in RNAcentral is "SSU rRNA". It matches the Rfam family "Eukaryotic small subunit ribosomal RNA", at positions 569 to 1092 of the family's 1831-position model. Lineage: Eukaryota; Fungi; Glomeromycota; Glomeromycetes; Glomerales; Glomeraceae. The record is from RNAcentral.